Molecule: unclassified non-coding RNA, 299 nt
Filed under: plant metagenome
Description: partial contains 5.8S ribosomal RNA, internal transcribed spacer 2, and large subunit ribosomal RNA
Rfam family: 5.8S ribosomal RNA (bases 1-105)
Source: RNAcentral
GAAAUGCGAUAAGUAAUGUGAAUUGCAGAAUUCAGUGAAUCAUCGAAUCUUUGAACGCACAUUGCGCUCGCCAGUAUUCUGGCGAGCAUGCCUGUUCGAGCGUCAUUUCAACCAUCAAGCUCUGCUUGCGUUGGGGAUCCGCGGCUGCCCGCGGUCCCUCAAAAACAGUGGCGGGCUCGCUAGUCACACCGAGCGUAGUAACUCUACAUCGCUAUGGUCGUGCGGCGGGUUCUUGCCGUAAAACCCCCAAUUUCUAAGGUUGACCUCGGAUCGGGUAGGAAUACCCGCUGAACUUAAGC